GUAGGUGAACCUGCGGAAGGAUCAUUACCGGGACAAGGGGCUGCUGCCCCGGACCUCCAACCCGUGUCUACACACCUUCGUUGCUUUGGCGGGCCCGUGCUCGGGCUGGCCCCGGCACCCCCGGUACCGGUGAGUGCCCGCCGAAAGCCCUUCAAAAAUCGUUUACCGGUGAAGUCUGAGGAGCAGAAAACAACUAAAACUUUCAACAACGGAUCUCUUGGUUCUG
Molecule: unclassified non-coding RNA, 226 nt
Filed under: rhizosphere metagenome
Description: partial ribosomal RNA internal transcribed spacer region
Source: RNAcentral